UAUUGGUCAAUAGCCUAACGGCUGAACCAGCAACUUGGAGGAAUGUACAGGGAAAACUGGUAAAAUGUGAUGUACCUGAUAGUAUUAGUGAUUAAUAUGAAAUUAACUAAGUUAAUUAAAAUUCAAAGUAGAUAUGUGAUUAUGACAAUAUUUGCUUAUUUCUUGACCAAGUCACGUGCCAGCAGUCGCGGUAAUACGUGGAAGAUAAGUGUUAUUCAUCUUUAAUAGGUUUAAAGGGUACCUAGACGGUUAAUUAAGCAUUGUACUAAUUAUUAACUAGAGUUUAAUGUAAGAAGGAUUGAGUACGGUGAGUGAAGAGAUAAAAUUCUGUCAUACCACUUAGGAACUGGUAAAGGCGAAGGCAACCUUUUAUGUAAAAACUGACGUUGAGGGACGAAGGCUCGUAUUAAGUAAUAGGAUUAGAGACCCUAGUAUUGUGGGCAGACAAUGAUGAGUGUCAUAUGCAAGUUUUGUGUAUAAAUGAAAGUGUAAGCAUUCCACCUCAAGAGUAACAUGGCAACAUGGGAACUGAAAUCAUUAGACCGUUUCUGAAACUCGUAGUGAAGUAUGUUGUUUAAUUUGAUAAUCCUCAAAUAACCUUACCACAAUUUGUAUUACUAGUACAAGCGUUGCACGGCUGUCUUCAGUCAAUGUUGUGAAACUUUGGUUAGAUCCAUUAAAUUGACGUAAACCCUUGCUUUAUUUGUUAUAGAGCAGUUCGCCGCUAUAUUGGUAAUGAUAUAAGGGACCAAGACAAGUCAUCAUGACCUGAACAUUGUGGGCUGUAGACGUGCCACU
This 798-nucleotide ribosomal RNA is filed under the name Kalbographa aff. hypoglaucoides Kalb 39068 (Herb. Kalb). Its description in RNAcentral is "SSU rRNA". It matches the Rfam family "Bacterial small subunit ribosomal RNA", at positions 362 to 1229 of the family's 1533-position model. Lineage: Eukaryota; Fungi; Ascomycota; Lecanoromycetes; Ostropales; Graphidaceae. The record is from RNAcentral.